GAUGAACGCUGGCGGCGUGCCUAAUACAUGCAAGUCGAGCGAACAGAUGAGAAGCUUGCUUCUCUGAUGUUAGCGGCGGACGGGUGAGUAACACGUGGGUAACCUACCUAUAAGACUGGGAUAACUCCGGGAAACCGGGGCUAAUACCGGAUAAUAUUUUGAACCGCAUGGUUCAAUAGUGAAAGACGGUUUCGGCUGUCACUUAUAGAUGGACCCGCGCCGUAUUAGCUAGUUGGUAAGGUAACGGCUUACCAAGGCGACGAUACGUAGCCGACCUGAGAGGGUGAUCGGCCACACUGGAACUGAGACACGGUCCAGACUCCUACGGGAGGCAGCAGUAGGGAAUCUUCCGCAAUGGGCGAAAGUCUGACGGAGCAACGCCGCGUGAGUGAUGAAGGUCUUCGGAUCGUAAAACUCUGUUGUUAGGGAAGAACAAAUUUGUUAGUAACUGAACAAGUCUUGACGGUACCUAACCAGAAAGCCACGGCUAACUACGUGCCAGCAGCCACGGUAA
This 514-nucleotide ribosomal RNA is filed under the name uncultured bacterium. Its description in RNAcentral is "partial 16S ribosomal RNA". It matches the Rfam family "Bacterial small subunit ribosomal RNA", at positions 28 to 523 of the family's 1533-position model. The record is from RNAcentral.